RNAcentral lists this ribosomal RNA (492 nucleotides) under uncultured bacterium. RNAcentral describes it as "partial 16S ribosomal RNA". It matches the Rfam family "Bacterial small subunit ribosomal RNA", at positions 29 to 507 of the family's 1533-position model. The record is from RNAcentral.
AGUGAACGCUGGCGGUAGGCCUAACACAUGCAAGUCGAACGGCAGCACAGUAAGAGCUUGCUCUUACGGGUGGCGAGUGGCGGACGGGUGUGGAAUACAUCGGCAUCUACUUUUUCGUGGGGGAUCAAGUAGGGAGACUUACGCUAAUACCGCAUACGAUCUACGGGUGAAAGCAGGGGAUCUUCGCACCUUGCGCGAUUGAAUGCGCCGAUGUCGGAUUAGCUAGUUGGCGGGGUAAAGGCCCACCAAGGCGACGAUCCGUAGCUGGUCUGAGAGGAUGAUCAGCCACACUGGAACUGAGACACGGUCCAGACUCCUACGGGAGGCAGCAGUGGGGAAUAUUGGACAAUGGGCGCAAGCCUGAUCCAGCCAUACCGCGUGUGUGAAGAAGGCCUUCGGGUUGUAAAGCCCCUUUGUUGGGAAAGAAAAGCAGCAGGUUAAUACCCCGCUGUUCUGACGGUACCCGAAGAAUAAGCACCGGCUAACUUCGUG